GGUAUAGUGCCUGAUUAAAGGACUACUUUGAUGAAGUAGAAAUGAGAGCUCUUCUCCUAUGCCA
Molecule: transfer RNA, 64 nt
Filed under: Macrogyropus costalimai
Lineage: Eukaryota; Metazoa; Arthropoda; Insecta; Psocodea; Gyropidae
Description: tRNA-Ile
Source: RNAcentral